AAAGAUAGAGGUGCGUCUUUUAUCAGUACCCGCCGGGAUCGCGACAGGGCGAGCAGAAGGGCGGGAAAAGGAAACGACGCCGAAGGGACGCCAUUGACCUGUACAAGGCGUUUCUGGGCCUGCUGAGAAGAUCACCAGGACUGUCGCCGGUCGGCGGAGCGCUGUCA
Molecule: non-coding RNA, 167 nt
Filed under: uncultured Pseudoramibacter sp.
Lineage: Bacteria; Bacillati; Bacillota; Clostridia; Eubacteriales; Eubacteriaceae
Description: Lysine riboswitch
Rfam family: Lysine riboswitch aptamer
About the family: Riboswitches are metabolite binding domains within certain messenger RNAs that serve as precision sensors for their corresponding targets.
Source: RNAcentral